UUGGCGCGCCAUCUUCCCUUUCGUUAUUGAUGUUGGUCGAUGCAAAUGGAAAAACAUCCUCUAUAAUAUCCAUGACUUGAUCAUUAUGAUCCACAAUAGGUUCAACACUGUCCAUUCUUGUGGCAUUUGAAGACGAAGCAUGGUCUAAUUGUUCCCUAUGAAGGUUCCAAAUGCUAUAUGUCUCAAUCAUUCCAUUCCUUACUAAAUGAAAUCCAACAUUUUCAAUUGUC
RNAcentral lists this long non-coding RNA (230 nucleotides) under Prunus persica (peach). RNAcentral describes it as "long non-coding RNA (PPER_LNC000883)". Lineage: Eukaryota; Viridiplantae; Streptophyta; Magnoliopsida; Rosales; Rosaceae. The record is from RNAcentral.